AGAAAUAGUCUGUCUUAAUUAAAGAUAUUAGAAUUUAACUUUUAAGUGAAAAGGCUUAAAUGAUCUGAAGGGAGGAUAAGACCCUAUAAAACUUUAUAUUCAAAAGUGGAAAUUAGUUUUAUUUAGAAGUUACUAUUUUAUAAUAUUUGGUUGGGGCGACAAGGACAGAAGAAAAAGUAACUGUCUUUUUUUUUUACAAUAAUAUUUGGUUUAAUGAUCCUAAAACGGAUUAAAGAUUAAGUUACUUUAGGGAUAACAGCGUAAUUUUCUUUAAGAGUUCUUAUCGACAGGAAAGUUUGCGACCUCGAUGUUGAAUUAGAGGUUCUUUAUAGAUGUAGAAAUUAUAAUAGAAGGUCUGUUCGACCUUUAAAAUUUUAC
This 378-nucleotide ribosomal RNA is filed under the name Lacunicambarus ludovicianus. RNAcentral's name for it is "partial large subunit ribosomal RNA". The stretch from base 41 to 378 matches the Rfam family "Bacterial large subunit ribosomal RNA", at positions 2048 to 2599 of the family's 2925-position model. Lineage: Eukaryota; Metazoa; Arthropoda; Malacostraca; Decapoda; Cambaridae. The record is from RNAcentral.